RNAcentral lists this ribosomal RNA (460 nucleotides) under uncultured bacterium. RNAcentral describes it as "partial 16S ribosomal RNA". It matches the Rfam family "Bacterial small subunit ribosomal RNA", at positions 338 to 795 of the family's 1533-position model. The record is from RNAcentral.
CCUACGGGAGGCAGCAGUGAGGAAUAUUGGUCAAUGGACGAGAGUCUGAACCAGCCAAGUAGCGUGAAGGAUGACUGCCCUAUGGGUUGUAAACUUCUUUUAUAUGGGAAUAAAAUGUUCCACGUGUGGGAUUUUGUAUGUACCAUAUGAAUAAGGAUCGGCUAACUCCGUGCCAGCAGCCGCGGUAAUACGGAGGAUCCGAGCGUUAUCCGGAUUUAUUGGGUUUAAAGGGAGCGUAGGUGGAUUGUUAAGUCAGUUGUGAAAGUUUGCGGCUCAACCGUAACAUUGCAGUUGAAACUGGCGGUCUUGAGUACAGUAGAGGCGGGCGGAAUUCGUGGUGUAGCGGUGAAAUGCUUAGAUAUCACGAAGAACUCCGAUUGCGAAGGCAGCUCACUGGACUGCAACUGACACUGAGGCUCGAAAGUGUGGGUAUCAAACAGGAUUAGAUACCCGAGUAGUC